AAAAACAUGUCUUUGCGAUAAUUUAUGUAAAGUCUAGCCUGCCCAAUGAUAUAAAAUUCAAUGGCCGCGGUAUCUUGACCGUGCAAAGGUAGCAUAAUAAUUAGUCUUUUAAUUGAAGGCUGGAAUGAAAGGCUGAACAAAAGGACGACUGUCUCUAAGUUAAAUUUUGAACUUGACAUUUAAGUGAAAAGGCUUAAAUACUCUGGGGGGACGAUAAGACCCUAUAAAUCUUUAUAGUUGAGUUGGUCGGGUGGGAGAGUUUAAUCGUUCUCAUCCGGCGGGCUUAAGUAUUUUGUUGGGGCGACAAGAAUAUAAAUUGUAACUGUUCUAUAAAUAUAGUUAAAGAUAUUUAAUUAGGUGAUCCUCCCUUGGAGAUAUUAGUUUAAGUUACUUUAGGGAUAACAGCGUAAUUUUUUUUGAGAGUCCAUAUCGAAAAAAAAGUUUGCGACCUCGAUGUUGAAUUAAAGGCCCUUCGUGGAUGUAGAAACUACGGUAAGGAGGUCUGUUCGACCUUUAAACCUUUACGUGAUC
RNAcentral lists this ribosomal RNA (531 nucleotides) under Petrarctus sp. n. CHY-2011. RNAcentral's name for it is "partial 16S ribosomal RNA". It matches the Rfam family "Bacterial large subunit ribosomal RNA", at positions 1809 to 2605 of the family's 2925-position model. The record is from RNAcentral. Lineage: Eukaryota; Metazoa; Arthropoda; Malacostraca; Decapoda; Scyllaridae.